This is a long non-coding RNA of Photinus pyralis (common eastern firefly), 189 nucleotides long. RefSeq lists it as uncharacterized. Lineage: Eukaryota; Metazoa; Arthropoda; Insecta; Coleoptera; Lampyridae. The record is from RefSeq and is a predicted model, not a curated record. The transcript is spliced from 2 exons.
AAGGGCACGUGCCCACUUAAUUACCUAGAUAAACGGCGGAAAUAAAUUAGCACGCAAGUUAGACGUGUCAUUCCUCCUUUCUGGCAUUCCGCUCUUAUCAAGUUCGUAAUUGUAUUACCUUACCGUCACAUCCUUUGCUAUUAAUACCCUGAUAUACGUUUGCACUUUUGCUAAAAUAAAAUGUGUGGA